This 706-nucleotide long non-coding RNA is filed under the name Parus major (Great Tit). RNAcentral's name for it is "lncRNA (ENSPMJG00000008674.1)". Lineage: Eukaryota; Metazoa; Chordata; Aves; Passeriformes; Paridae. The record is from RNAcentral.
GUCAGUAAAUCCCAAGCCCUGCAGGCCUGGCUCUUACUGUGGUGCUGUGACAGGAGAUCCUCCCCUGUGUCCUGCUGGCUACCACUGUCCUGAGGGAUCCUGGACCUACACCAGCCCCGAGCAGCUGUGUGUGUUCCCGUACUACUGCCCCCCGGGCAGUGCCCAGCCGGUGCCCUGCGGAGGAGGGAGCAUGGCCCUCAGCCUGCCUGGCCUCAGGGGCUCAGCUGAGACAUUCUGCAGGGUUUGUGCUGCAGGGACCUUCCGCAGUGACCCCCUGAUCUCAGCGCCCUGCCAGCCCUGCCCAGCCGGCUUCACCUGCCCACCAGGCAGUGACAGCUACCAGCAGCAGCCUUGUCCCCGUGGCCACUACUGCCCUGCCCUGUCCCCUGCCCCGCUGCCCUGUCCCCCGGGCACCCACGGGAGGAGCCCCUUUGCCAAGCACCCAGGGGACUGCCAGGCCUGUCCUGCUGGCACCUUCAAUCACCUCCCUGCCCAGCCUGCCUGCUUCCCCUGUGGCAGCUCUUCUUCCUCGCAGCCGGGUGCCACCAGCUGUACCUGCCAUGGGCUGAACAGAGCUUUCCAGCACUCAGAUGCCUCCUGCAUCUGCCAGGCAGGUUAUGUUUAUUAUGAUGAGAGAGGCAAGAAAGAUCCCGACAGCAACAGCGAUCAGGAUUGCCGACCUCAGGUAAAAUCAGGCUCUGAACCA